This 380-nucleotide ribosomal RNA is filed under the name uncultured Gammaproteobacteria bacterium. RNAcentral describes it as "bacterial SSU rRNA". It matches the Rfam family "Bacterial small subunit ribosomal RNA", at positions 116 to 488 of the family's 1533-position model. The record is from RNAcentral. Lineage: Bacteria; Pseudomonadati; Pseudomonadota; Gammaproteobacteria.
CGUAGGAAUCUACCGAGUAGUGGGGGACAACAGUUGGAAACGACUGCUAAUACCGCAUAAUCCCUGAGGGGGAAAGGAGGGGAUCUGUUUACAGACCUUUCGCUAUUUGAUGAGCCUGCGUGAGAUUAGCUAGUUGGUGAGGUAAUGGCUCACCAAGGCGACGAUCUCUAGCUGGUCUGAGAGGAUGAUCAGCCACACUGGAACUGAGACACGGUCCAGACUCCUACGGGAGGCAGCAGUGGGGAAUAUUGCACAAUGGGGGAAACCCUGAUGCAGCCAUGCCGCGUGUGUGAAGAAGGGCUUCGGGUUGUAAAGCACUUUCAGCGAGGAGGAAAGGAGUAUGUUUAAUACACGUGCUCUGUGACGUUACUCGCAGAAGA